This 96-nucleotide transfer RNA is filed under the name Candidatus Aminicenantota bacterium. RNAcentral describes it as "Candidatus Aminicenantes bacterium tRNA-Sec". It matches the Rfam family "Selenocysteine transfer RNA". Lineage: Bacteria; Candidatus Aminicenantota. The record is from RNAcentral.
GGGAGGGUAGAGGUCCCGGUGGGCCUUCCGGACUUCAAAUCCGGCACGGGGCCGUGAAACGUCCCGGGUGGGUUCAACUCCCACACCUUCCCGCCA